Molecule: long non-coding RNA, 1590 nt
Organism: Bicyclus anynana (squinting bush brown)
Lineage: Eukaryota; Metazoa; Arthropoda; Insecta; Lepidoptera; Nymphalidae
Exons: 2
Source: RefSeq, a predicted model, not a curated record
UUAUUUACACUAUGUAAAAUUUCCUCUUUUAUAUAAGAAAUUGCUUUUAAAAUUGCAAAAGAUUCCGCAGUAAAAAUACUACAUCGAGAAUUUAACUUAAACGCUUUACUACAUUUUUUUUGUGGAUCAUAGAAAGCAGCACUUACAAAGUGCUGAUUUUUAGAUCCAUCUGUAUAUAACUUAUAAUAAUAUUUACAAUUUUUAUCAAUAAACAUAAGGAAGUCUAUGUUUGACGUAAUAUUCAACAAAUGAAUUUUAUUUGUCAUAAUCAAGCUCUCAAAGGAGCAAGAGUACAUGGGCCAGGCGUUACUAACAUUUAUGUUAGUGGCAAUAUUAUGCAUAUAUGUCAUAAUAAUAGAUAUGGUAGGUUGUUUACCUGCCAAAAGUGAAUUUGCGGUCGCUUGUAAAGAUUCAGUUGUAGAUUUAGUUACAGUUAGUAGACUAUUUGGAAGCAAAAGUUUGUUCACUAUUGAAGAGCUCGAUGAUAGAGCUUUCAAACAAAAUCUUUCAGCUAAAUAUAUACGUCUUACAAUUAAAGGAGGAAUACAAGUCUCUACGUCCAUUGAAUUAACAGGUGUAGAGCGCAUAGCCCCACUUAUUAUGCGCAAGCCAAUGUUUUGAAUAACAUCAAGUUUUUUUAAUAAUGUGGAAUUGGCUUGCAUAUAUGCAAGAAAACUAUAAUCAAAGUGACUUCUGACCAUGCUUUUAUAUAAUAGAGAUAGGACUUUAGGAUCAGAGCCCCAAAACGUUCCAGUCAAACAUCUCAAUAAAUUAAUGCCUUUUAACGCAUUUUUGCUAAUAUAAUUAAUAUGUCUGUCAAAUUUUAAUUUAUUAUCGAUAAUUACACCCAAAAAUUUCUUUUGAUUUACAAAUGGAAUAUCUGUACCAUUAUAUUUGAUGUUAUUCCCCACUGGGCUGCCAAAAAUCAUACAUGAACUUUUGGAAGUAUUGAUAUUUAAUUUUAACAAAUUUUUAUAAUAAAACUGCAACUGGAACAGUGCAGAAUUAAUAGUAUUUUUAGCUAUUUCUAUAUUUCUAUUUACACUAUACAUUAACAAGUCAUCCGCAAAUUGUAAAAUUUUAACAUCUCCUAAUAAAAAAUUUUCAAUUUGUGAGGUGUAUAAAUUAUACAAAAUUGGUGACAAUGCUGAACCUUGCAUAAGACCUUUACUAGUUUUAUUUAUCCCAUGGAGUAUAUUAUUGUACUUAACAUAAAACUGUCUAUUAUUAAAAAAAUUUGAAAGCCAUUUUAACAUUUUUCCAGGGAUACCAAUUUCAUAAAGACAAUUGAUGAGCUGGUUUAAGUCCACAUUAUCAUAAGCCCCCUCUAUAUCCAAAAAUAUACAUACUGCUGUGGAUCUAGACAAUUGACAAUUCUUCAUAUCAUACAUAAAUGAAGUUAUACUCUCUGCUGCGCUUUUACCUCUACGGAAACCAUAUUGAAAACCUGGUGGACAAUAAACACAAAGUAUUGAUAAGUCACCAACAUUGGUUUCUAAAGAAAUUGCUAUGGAUUGAACAUCUUCAUAAAAUUUUGUUUCCAAAAGUUUAUAUUUAAAUGUAUUUCUUAAUAAAAUACCUACGCCACCA